Molecule: long non-coding RNA, 389 nt
Filed under: Carica papaya (papaya)
Lineage: Eukaryota; Viridiplantae; Streptophyta; Magnoliopsida; Brassicales; Caricaceae
Description: long non-coding RNA (CPAP_LNC001770)
Source: RNAcentral
AUGAUAGGUGGAACUGUAUCUCGUAGAAGAGGGACUGCAUUGUGCUGGAGAAAAAUCGGGUGGCACUGUGAUGGUACGGGGAUGAUAUGUUGAAGGCAUUAGAUUAUACUGUGGCGGUAUCAGAUGAUGUAGUUGAGGCACUGAAUUGUACUGUGGUGGUGCUGGAUGGUACGGUGGAGGAACAGGGUUGUAUUGGGGUGGCUGUGGAUCUUCCCACUGUAAGAGUGGCUUGAACUCUGGCAGCAGGAGAUGAUCAGACAGCUCCCUCCUUUCCUCUCGAGUCUGCUGGGCAGAGAUGAGUCUCUCUAUUAUCUCAAAGAGUUGGUCAAUAUCUUCUCGAAGCAAACCAUCUCGGGCUACUCGAUUUAGUGGGGCCUUCCUCUCCUCAU